RNAcentral lists this long non-coding RNA (536 nucleotides) under Olea europaea subsp. europaea. Lineage: Eukaryota; Viridiplantae; Streptophyta; Magnoliopsida; Lamiales; Oleaceae. The record is from RNAcentral.
UGUAGCAGUCCUGCAGGUGCUAAUGUGGAGUACUUGUGCUGUUGACAAACUUUGCAAGCAACCACAUAGUUUCUAAUAUCCUUCUUCAUACCAUUCCAAUAAAAAGUCCCGACUAUCCUCUUGUAAGUCUUAAGGAAUCCCCCAUGGCCGCCCAUUUUACUAUCAUGGCCUUCUUGUAAUGCUAACAAAAUAAUUGGAGAACCUUUAGGUAGGAUGAUCCUGUCCUUAUACAAUAAAGCCCCACUUACUAUAGCAAAUCCCGGACAGGACGAAGGGUCCACCCUUAUGGCUGAUAUGAUUCGGCUUAGUUCAGGAUCUUCUUCCUUUGCUUUUAUCACCUCCUCUAACUGUACUGUGUUCGGUAUACUAAGGGCCAUCAGUGUGGCUGCUGUUCCUCUUCUGGAUAAGGCAUCUGCGGCUUUGUUUUCCAAUCCUGGCUUGUAUUCAAUAUCUAAAUCGAAACCCAACAAUUUAGAUAACCACUUCUGAUAUUCCACAUUUACUAAGCGCUGUUCGAGUAGGAAUUUAAGACUUUU